GCCUCGUUAGCUCAGUUGGUAGAGCGUCAGACUUUUAAUCUGAAUGUCAGGGGUUCGAACCCCCUACGAGGCU
Molecule: transfer RNA, 73 nt
Filed under: Pristionchus pacificus
Lineage: Eukaryota; Metazoa; Nematoda; Chromadorea; Rhabditida; Neodiplogasteridae
Description: tRNA-Lys (TTT) (tRNA-Lys-TTT-4-1)
Rfam family: tRNA
About the family: Transfer RNA (tRNA) molecules are approximately 80 nucleotides in length. Their secondary structure includes four short double-helical elements and three loops (D, anti-codon, and T loops). Further hydrogen bonds mediate the characteristic L-shaped molecular structure. tRNAs have two regions of fundamental functional importance: the anti-codon, which is responsible for specific mRNA codon recognition, and the 3' end, to which the tRNAs corresponding amino acid is attached (by aminoacyl-tRNA synthetases). tRNAs cope with the degeneracy of the genetic code in two manners: having more than one tRNA (with a specific anti-codon) for a particular amino acid; and 'wobble' base-pairing, i.e. permitting non-standard base-pairing at the 3rd anti-codon position.
Source: Rfam by way of RNAcentral